UGUGGGAAGGACGGACAGGGAAACUACAUGAAGUGCGAAAAAAAGGUUUGAGUGGGAAACAAUGUCCUCUUGUAAACCUUCAAUAACAUGGCAUAGUAGUUCCAAUUCAACUUUGCCUGUUCAUAGUUAUAAAGUGUUGAGAUAUUAUAGCAUAGACCGGUGGUGGUCACACCUGAUCCUGGAGUUAAAUCAGGUGUGUUUUUUAUUUUUAAUAUGCCCUCAUCCAAUGAAGACGUUUAGAUAAAGUACGAUGCUUAGUCAUUUACAUCCACAAAGCCAUUAAUCGUACCUGUAAUCUUCUUAUUGUCUUUGUUUUCCCCGUGGAUGCAUUGUUGCGUGUGUGCCUAUGCGUCCCGUCUGUCCGUCCUUCCAUCCGCCGUCCAUCUGUCUGUGUGUCUGCGUCUGCCGUGCGUGUGUCCGUCAUUCGAUCAUGUGCGCUGUGCGUCGAUCCCCAGCGACGCCAAGUGCGGGAAGAUCCAGUGCCACAGCGCGGCCAGAAGCCGAAGGGCACCAACGCAGUGUCCAUAGACACCACCAUCCGUACGGACGGCAUGGAGGUGAAGUGCAGGGGGACAUAUGUCUAUACCACCCAGGAUGGACAAGGGGACCUCCCUGACCCGGGCCUCGUCAUGACCGGCACCAAGUGUGGAGAGGGGAAGGUGUGCAGGGACCGCCGGUGCCAAACGCCUCUUUCACCGAGCUGGAGAGCUGCAUCGCUCACUGUCAUGGCCAUGGGGUGUGCAACAGCAAUGGCAGCUGUCACUGUAACCGAGGGGUGGG
Long non-coding RNA from Oncorhynchus masou masou (cherry salmon), 780 nucleotides. RefSeq lists it as uncharacterized. The record is from RefSeq and is a predicted model, not a curated record. NCBI's taxonomy places the organism in Eukaryota, Metazoa, Chordata, Actinopteri, Salmoniformes, Salmonidae. The transcript is spliced from 3 exons.